RNAcentral lists this ribosomal RNA (450 nucleotides) under uncultured bacterium. RNAcentral's name for it is "partial 16S ribosomal RNA". It matches the Rfam family "Bacterial small subunit ribosomal RNA", at positions 39 to 523 of the family's 1533-position model. The record is from RNAcentral.
GCGGCAUGCUUAACACAUGCAAGUCGAACGGACUUGUAGGGCUUGCUCUACAAGUUAGUGGCAGACGGGUGAGUAACGCGUGGGAAUGUACCUUUUGGUUCGGAAUAACUUCGGGGAACUGAAGCUAAUACCGGAUAAGCCCGUGAGGGGAAAGAUUUAUCGCCAUUAGAGCGGCCCGCGUUAGAUUAGCUAGUUGGUGAGGUAAAGGCUCACCAAGGCUACGAUCUAUAGCUGGUCUGAGAGGAUGAUCAGCCACACUGGGACUGGGACACGGCCCAGACUCCUACGGGAGGCAGCAGUGGGGAAUCUUGCGCAAUGGGCGAAAGCCUGACGCAGCCAUGCCGCGUGAAUGAUGAAGGUCUUAGGAUUGUAAAAUUCUUUUACCAGGGACGAUAAUGACGGUACCUGGAGAAAAAGCCCCGGCUAACUACGUGCCAGCCGCCGCCGUAA